GAUGAACGCUGGCGGCGUGCCUAAUACAUGCAAGUCGAGCGAACGGACGAGAAGCUUGCUUCUCUGAUGUUAGCGGCGGACGGGCGAGUAACACGUGGAUAACCUACCUAUAAGACUGGGAUAACUUCGGGAAACCGUAGCUAAUACCGGAUAAUAUUUUGAACCGCAUGGUUCAAAAGUGACAGACGGUCUUGCUGUCACUUAUAGAUGGAUCCGCGCUGCAUUAGCUAGUUGGUAAGGUAACGGCUUACCAAGGCAACGAUGCAUAGCCGACCUGAGAGGGUGAUCGGCCACACUGGAACUGAGACACGGUCCAGACUCCUACGGGAGGCAGCAGUAGGGAAUCUUCCGCAAUGGGCGAAAGCCUGACGGAGCAACGCCGCGUGAGUGAUGAAGGUCUUCGGAUCGUAAAACUCUGUUAUUAGGGAAGAACAUAUGUGUAAGUAACUGUGCACAUCUUGACGGUACCUAAUCAGAAAGCCACGGCUAACUACGUG
Molecule: ribosomal RNA, 497 nt
Filed under: uncultured bacterium
Lineage: Bacteria
Description: partial 16S ribosomal RNA
Rfam family: Bacterial small subunit ribosomal RNA
Source: RNAcentral